GACGAACGCUGGCGGCGUGCUUAACACAUGCAAGUCGAACGGAAAGGCCCUGCUUUUGUGGGGUUCUCGAGUGGGGAACGGGUGUGUAACACGUGAGUAACCUGCCCUUGACUGUGUGAUAACUUGAGGAAACUGGUGCUAAUACCGGAUAGGAGCUCCUGCUGCAUGGGGGGGGUUGGAAAGUUUCGGCGGUUGGGGAUGUACGCGCGGCUUAUCAGCUUGUGGGUGGGGUAGUUGCUUACCAAGGCUUUGACGGAUAGCCGGCAUGGGAGGGUGACCGGCCACCUUGGGACUAAGAUACGGAGCAGAGUGCUACGGGGGGCAGCAGUGGGGAAUAUUGCACAAUGGGCGGAAGCCUGAUGAAGAAGCGCCCCGUGCGGGAUGACGGCCUUCGGGUGGUAAACCGCUUUCGCCUGUGACGAAGCGUGAGUGACGGUAAUGGGAAAAGAAGCACCGGCUAACUACGUG
RNAcentral lists this ribosomal RNA (468 nucleotides) under uncultured bacterium. Its description in RNAcentral is "partial 16S ribosomal RNA". It matches the Rfam family "Bacterial small subunit ribosomal RNA", at positions 28 to 507 of the family's 1533-position model. The record is from RNAcentral.